CCUACGGGAGGCAGCAGUGAGGAAUAUUGGUCAAUGGGCGUAAGCCUGAACCAGCCAAGUCGCGUGAGGGAUGAAGGUUCUAUGGAUCGUAAACCUCUUUUAUAAGGGAAUAAAGUGCGGGACGUGUCCCGUUUUGUAUGUACCUUAUGAAUAAUGAUCGGCUAACUCCGUGCCAGCAGCCGCGGUAAUACGGAGGAUCCGAGCGUUAUCCGGAUUUAUUGGGUUUAAAGGGUGCGUAGGCGGCCGUUUAAGUCAGCGGUGAAAGUCUGUGGCUCAACCAUAGAAGUGCCGUUGAAACUGGGUGGCUUGAGUAUGUUUGAGGCAGGCGGAAUGCGUGGUGUAGCGGUGAAAUGCGUAGAUAUCAGGAGGAACACCGAUGGCGAAGGCAGCCUGCUGGACUUCAACUGACGUUGAGGCCCGAAAGCGUGGGGAGCAAACAGGAUUAGAUACCCGGGUAGUC
Molecule: ribosomal RNA, 460 nt
Filed under: uncultured bacterium
Lineage: Bacteria
Description: partial 16S ribosomal RNA
Rfam family: Bacterial small subunit ribosomal RNA
Source: RNAcentral